UCAAAAUCCACAAGAUUAUAUGAAGCGUCCAAUUAGGACGAUUGACAACCUUCCACCAAGCUUUGAUAUAGUGUUAGAUAAGUGCAGCUGCAGUACAAGCAGUUCAACACAUUCGGUGACUGUCGCAAACAAGACAGAGGUAAGACGAUAUAUAUUUCUCUACUAACUGUUAAAUUUGUUGCAGAUUAAUUUUAACUUGACUGGUAAGUUCAAUUAUACUCCACAUGGGAUCCACAAUCACUCUCUGCGGGGCUGUCAGACUUACACACACUGUAUUGAUCAUGCCGCAGGAUUCUAUGAAGCUGACAGUUGCGAGAUAGGUUUCCACUUUGAUUGAUGAGGUAUGCAACACUGCAGAGUCACCAAUGAGAAUAUUUGAUGUCAGUUUAACGUAGCAGAUUGUUUUAAGUUUGUUUAUUUUUUAUUUUGUUUUAUUGUUGUUCUACACAUGGUAAGAUGAUCCAAAAGGCUUGAGUUAUCUUCAUUAUUGCAAAGGCUGUUUGCAAAAUCAUCAAUAAAAGUCAGCCCAUGACGAACCUUUCUUUA
Long non-coding RNA from Erigeron canadensis, 546 nucleotides. RefSeq lists it as uncharacterized. The record is from RefSeq and is a predicted model, not a curated record. NCBI's taxonomy places the organism in Eukaryota, Viridiplantae, Streptophyta, Magnoliopsida, Asterales, Asteraceae. The transcript has 2 exons.